GGCUUCGUGGUCGAGUGGUGAGGACACUUGCCUGUCACCCUAGAAUCCCGGAUUCGAUCCCGGGUCGAGGAGCUA
Non-coding RNA from Rhamnusium bicolor, 75 nucleotides. The record is from the annotation of a GenBank genome assembly. NCBI's taxonomy places the organism in Eukaryota, Metazoa, Arthropoda, Insecta, Coleoptera, Cerambycidae.